Molecule: ribosomal RNA, 496 nt
Filed under: uncultured bacterium
Lineage: Bacteria
Description: partial 16S ribosomal RNA
Rfam family: Bacterial small subunit ribosomal RNA
Source: RNAcentral
GAUGAACGCUGGCGGCGUGCCUAAUACAUGCAAGUCGAGCGAACGGACGAGAAGCUUGCUUCUCUGAUGUUAGCGGCGGACGGGUGAGUAACACGUGGAUAACCUACCUAUAAGACUGGGAUAACUUCGGGAAACCGGAGCUAAUACCGGAUAAUAUUUUGAACCGCAUGGUUCAAAAGUGAAAGACGGUCUUGCUGUCACUUAUAGAUGGAUCCGCGCUGCAUUAGCUAGUUGGUAAGGUAACGGCUUACCAAGGCAACGAUGCAUAGCCGACCUGAGAGGGUGAUCGGCCACACGGGAACUGAGGCACGGUCCAGACCCCUACGGGAGGCAGCAGUAGGGAAUCUUCCGCAAUGGGCGAAAGCCUGACGGAGCAACGCCGCGGGAGUGAUGAAGGUCUUCGGAUCGUAAAACUCUGUUAUUAGGGAAAAACAUAUGUGUAAGUAACUGUGCAACUUUUGACGGUACCUAAUCAAAAAGCCACGGCUAACUACUG